Molecule: ribosomal RNA, 468 nt
Filed under: uncultured bacterium
Lineage: Bacteria
Description: partial 16S ribosomal RNA
Rfam family: Bacterial small subunit ribosomal RNA
Source: RNAcentral
GACGAACGCUGGCGGCGUGCUUAACACAUGCAAGUCGAACGGAAAGGCCCUGCUUUUGUGGGGUGCUCGAGUGGCGAACGGGUGAGUAACUCGUGAGUAACCUGCCCUUGACUUUGGGAUAACUUCAGGAAACUUGGGCUAAUACCGGAUAGGAGCUCCUGCUGCAUGGUGGGGGUUGGAAAGUUUCGGCGGUUGGGGAUGGACUCGCGGCUUAUCAGCUUGUUGGUGGGGUAGUGGCUUACCAAGGCUUUGACGGGUAGCCGGCCUGAGAGGGUGACCGGCCACAUUGGGACUGAGAUACGGCCCAGACUCCUACGGGAGGCAGCAGUGGGGAAUAUUGCACAAUGGGCGGAAGCCUGAUGCAGCAACGCCGCGUGCGGGAUGACGGCCUUCGGGUUGUAAACCGCUUUCGCCUGUGACGAAGCGUGAGUGACGGUAAUGGGUAAAGAAGCACCGGCUAACUACGUG